This 155-nucleotide non-coding RNA is filed under the name Actinospica robiniae. The record is from RNAcentral. Lineage: Bacteria; Bacillati; Actinomycetota; Actinomycetes; Catenulisporales; Actinospicaceae.
ACUACGAGUGCUAGCCUUCGAAGCGCGUAUCCGCAGCGAAGCCGGUGGGAAUCCGGCGCUGUCCCGCAACUGUGACGUCCUGUCCCGACCUACCCGCAGCUUGGGAGGCCAGGGAUCGGCGGAGUCAGGUCGCCUGCGGAGCGCCGACGAUAUAG